This 540-nucleotide unclassified non-coding RNA is filed under the name Hevea brasiliensis (rubber tree). Lineage: Eukaryota; Viridiplantae; Streptophyta; Magnoliopsida; Malpighiales; Euphorbiaceae. The record is from RNAcentral.
AAGCGCCACAGGUGAAAAUUUAACGACGCAGAUAAGAAAGAGAUCAAAUGCUCUAUUCAAUAUAUUCUUUUGUAGUUUUGAUUUCUUUAGAAAGUCUCUUAGAUUGGAUGAAGUGGGUGGAAUUUUGGGGAAUGCAGCGUUGGUUGCAAUCAGCAUGCUUGCACUGAUGCAUCUGCAGCAAGUUGGUAGCAAGGAAAAAUACCUUUUGGACCUCCCGUUAGGAGAAGACGUUGACUACAGCAGAAAUAUUAGAAAAAUCUCUCAGCCUGAGGGGUCAUCAUCCAGCCUAAAUUUGGAUGUGUUGUCAGCCAGGGGCUGACACAUAAAAUGGUGAGGAUUGGGAGAAAGAGGAUAUUAUGUUGUGUCCAGCCAAAUUUUACUGAGGUGGGAGAACCAAGUUUCUUAUAGUAGACGGUAGUAAAGAAGGGAACCAUAUUUUUGCUAUCUAUAAAUGUUGUAAAGAGCUACAUCUCCCUUUCUUUGGAACAUGCGACAGAUUUUAUACUAUAGUCUAUGUGCAUGUGUCAGUGUGAAGUUCAA